GACGAACCGUGCGAACGUUGUUCGGAAUCACUGGGCUUAAAGGGCGCGUAGGCGGCAUAUCAAGUCCGGGGUGAAAGCCCCCAGCUUAACUGGGGAAGUGCCUUGGAUACUGGAGUGCUAGAGGGAGGUAGGGGUCGAGGGAACUUCUGGUGGAGCGGUGAAAUGCGUUGAUAUCAGAAGGAACGCCGGUGGCGAAAGCGCUCGACUGGACCUCUGCUGACGCUGAGGCGCGAAAGCUAGGGGAGCAAACGGG
This 253-nucleotide ribosomal RNA is filed under the name uncultured bacterium. RNAcentral describes it as "partial 16S ribosomal RNA". It matches the Rfam family "Bacterial small subunit ribosomal RNA", at positions 524 to 776 of the family's 1533-position model. The record is from RNAcentral.